This is a long non-coding RNA of Acomys russatus (golden spiny mouse), 412 nucleotides long. RefSeq lists it as uncharacterized. NCBI's taxonomy places the organism in Eukaryota, Metazoa, Chordata, Mammalia, Rodentia, Muridae. The record is from RefSeq and is a predicted model, not a curated record. The transcript has 3 exons.
UAGUUCUGACCUGCCUGGCGUCAUCAUUUGCCGCUUGAAGAGAGGGGCUUUCUGUCCUCUGUCCUUCCAAUGUGCCUGGCAAAGUGACAGCCGCUUACAGAUUCCAGUUCCUGCAGGGAUGGCUGGCUCCUGUGACAAUGGCCAGCUCUUUACACCGAAGACAGAAGAACUACAAGGGCAACAAGGCAGAACUAAUUAACACAGACGCGAAAAUGAGAUGACCACUAGCCACAAAUAGACUCCUGAAAAGAUCAUACCAACUAGAGUCCAGACGGCACAAGACCGCAGGACAAGUGAGGACCCAAACGUCAACUCCAGCACACAUUUCCUGCCACCCUCCUGCCCACAGCUUACCCCUGGCGCCACUGAGUUCACCUGGGCCACAGCUGCCAGGCCAGCCCUCUGGGUGCAC